AUUUUUAUAGUGUAACGCAAACACAUUACAUUUUCAUUGUAAAGCUGAAAUUUAAAUUUCUAAAAAUU
This 68-nucleotide transfer RNA is filed under the name Trapezia digitalis. RNAcentral's name for it is "tRNA-Glu". It matches the Rfam family "tRNA". Rfam says of the family: Transfer RNA (tRNA) molecules are approximately 80 nucleotides in length. Their secondary structure includes four short double-helical elements and three loops (D, anti-codon, and T loops). Lineage: Eukaryota; Metazoa; Arthropoda; Malacostraca; Decapoda; Trapeziidae. The record is from RNAcentral.